This is a long non-coding RNA of Esox lucius (northern pike), 373 nucleotides long. Lineage: Eukaryota; Metazoa; Chordata; Actinopteri; Esociformes; Esocidae. The record is from Ensembl.
GUGCGUCUGUUGAACUGUCAGCUGAUUGGUUGUCUUAGUCGCCUGUGGCUAGGUUGAUCAGCAAUACGGUUGUCGUGGUAACUGUGAGGCGCGGGAGAUAUUGGAUCUCGAAGCGGAAUCAUCCGAGGCUUGUUUGGUUAAGACAUCGAUCUCCUCGAAACUCCCCAGUUAAUGAUUAGUGGGUUUCAUUUCAGGGACCAUACCAUUCACCUGAGGGGAGAACAGAUGUCACGCCCUGUGUCUCAAAUCACACCCUUCUCAUUUUUAUAGUGCCCUUUUUUACCAGUAGGGCUUUGGUCAAAUGUAGUGUACUAUAUAAGACAUUGUUAUAUUUUUUUACAUUACAUAUUUUCAUUGUUCCUUUGAGCCACAU